This 1333-nucleotide long non-coding RNA is filed under the name Anas platyrhynchos platyrhynchos (common mallard). RNAcentral's name for it is "lncRNA (ENSAPLG00000031147.1)". The record is from RNAcentral. Lineage: Eukaryota; Metazoa; Chordata; Aves; Anseriformes; Anatidae.
AUGCUCUGCCCACAAGAACAUUUAAUUUACGCUUCUUGGUUAAAGUCAUUCCAUGGCAGGUCCUUGUUGCCACUCCUUCCUCCUCAUGCUUCUCCCCUAAUUCAGCCUGGCUCCUUCCACGGGCACUUCAGGAUAAACCUGCCCUGCGUGGGCUCUCCGUGGGCCGCAGGGGAAGGGAUGCUCCAGUGCCUGCAGCGCCUCUCUCCACCUUCUUCUCUGACCUUGGUGUUCACAGGACUUUUUCCAUACUUGUCCCCCCUUGCUCCUCACUGCCUGCGCAGCAUUCUGCCCUUUAUUAUGCCCUCACAAAGAGGAAAAGCACUCAAGUGCUGAACCGUGCAUACAUUUACACCUUGCCAGGCACAGGCCAUUAGCAGAUGUCCUUAUAGAGAAGGCCCUGACCAGUUUGCUCCUUCCCCUCCCGAUGCAGCGUGGGGUCAGUGACAUCAGACAGCUCCCACUGAGCAGUUGCAGCGCCCAGGGACCACUGGGGCAUUUACAGCUGCAGUUGUUCUGGCAGCUGUCGCUCAUCCUUGGGAUCUGCUCCACAGCGGGCUGAGGCUCCCAGCAAAAAGGAACCCAAAUGAUAUUUUACUGGAAAAAGGCAGGAUAAAACCCAUGUGCUGACUGGGGGGGUUAAUGCCUGAUGCCUCCUCCUCCAAAUGUGGAAGAUGACAGCAGGAAAAAAACGGUGGUGAAAACUGGACCUGUCCUAAUGCUGGUGGCAAGACAGCCGAGCUGCCCACGUCUGCACACCAAAGGGAAAGAACAUCUCAGGGUGAGAGGGCAGCUGUGCCUAAGCACAGGCAAAAUCUUCAGUCUCUUCUGAAAUUAGUGAUGCUGAUAUAUCCAGUAAGCAGAAUGGUUGCCUCAGUGUCACUGGAGAACAACUAACAAAGCCUUCAGAAGUUCGUACCUCAAUUUUAAAGCUGAGGCUAUUUUAGCUAAUGCCCCCAAGGCGAUUGUCUGGUCAAAUGUCAGUGUUUAUAUUGCUGAAGUAAAUCUCUAUGAGAUCUUUGCAGUUUGGGAACCAUGUUAGUCUCCAGCGUGAACUUCUCAGAUUAUACUGGGUUGUGGAUAUGUUUUUUUUUCCUCCCUCUGCUUGGAACAUAUCUCAAUCUCCCCAUACUCCUGCAAACUAUUGAAAAACUUUGUGUUGUGUCUCAACAACAGUUCCAUUGCUGUGGGAUUUUCCCCCACUAAUUCAUUUAUUCUAGAACAGUAUUUUCAUUGAUGCUGCUUCUGUAUGCUUUCAAUCUUGCAAAUUGGUAAUGUAUUGUUUUAUUUUUAAGGAAAACAUUGCCUGGAAUUUGGUCUCUUACAACUAAUGCCA